This 70-nucleotide transfer RNA is filed under the name Marmota monax (woodchuck). Its description in RNAcentral is "tRNA.Thr". Lineage: Eukaryota; Metazoa; Chordata; Mammalia; Rodentia; Sciuridae. The record is from RNAcentral.
GGAAUUUGUGCCUCAGUGGUAGAGUGCUUGCCUAGUAUGCAUGAGGCGCUGAGUUUGAUCCUUAGCACCA